RNAcentral lists this ribosomal RNA (616 nucleotides) under Lecanora fuscobrunnea. Its description in RNAcentral is "partial small subunit ribosomal RNA". It matches the Rfam family "Bacterial small subunit ribosomal RNA", at positions 388 to 1022 of the family's 1533-position model. Lineage: Eukaryota; Fungi; Ascomycota; Lecanoromycetes; Lecanorales; Lecanoraceae. The record is from RNAcentral.
AUAGCUAGUUGCAUCGAUGUUUAAAUAAUUGAUGUGAUAUCGACUAUGUCGAAUAAAAUUCUAGGUAGAGUUAUGAUAAUGACAUUGUCUGCCUAUGUGUCUUGACCAAAUUACGUGCCAGCAGUCGCGGUAAUACGUAGAAGACUAGUGUUAUUCAUCUUUAAUAGGUUUAAAGGGUACCUAGACGGUAUAUCAAGCCUGCAAUACGGGACUAAUGUACUAGAGUUACUUACGAGGGGGUAUUAAAGUACUGCUGGUGUAGAGAUGAAAUUCUGUCAUACCUCAUUUCGUAAGAAAUACUACGGCACAGGUAUAGGCGAAAGCAUCCCCUUAUGUGAUAACUGACGUUGAAGGACGAAGGCUUUGUGUAGCGAACAGGAUUAGAUACCCCAAUAGUCAAAGCAGAAAAUGAUGAAUGUCAUAGAUUAGACAUAUAGUUUAUUCUAUAAAUGAAAGUGUAAGCAUUCCACCUCAAGAGUAAUUUGGCAACAUUGGAACUGAAAUCAUUAGACCGUUUCUGAAACCAGUAGUGAAGUAUGUUGUUUAAUUUGAUAAUCCGCAAAAAACCUUACCACAAUUUGAAUAUUUAGAUUUUAAUUUUCUUUUUUUUUUUUUU